Molecule: long non-coding RNA, 207 nt
Filed under: Gossypium barbadense (sea-island cotton)
Lineage: Eukaryota; Viridiplantae; Streptophyta; Magnoliopsida; Malvales; Malvaceae
Description: long non-coding RNA (GBAR_LNC009366)
Source: RNAcentral
GAAAAGGUAAUAUGAAAACCUUCUUAUAAUUUGAUAUAAGUUAUAACAUAUAAUAACAUAUAAUAAUAUUUUAUUUAAUUAUUUAUUUAACUUUAAUAAUAUUAUAACAAAGCCAUAUGACAUAUGUCUAUCCAAUUAUUCUCUUAAUGGGUAAAUUUCAACUUUAAGGCUUCCAUUUAAAAAGCCAAGUACAAUUUAGCUGUAACG